AGAAGCAACUGGCGUUUGCAUGGCUACUGAGCAUUACUGAUAGGACCCGAAAGGUGGUGAACUUUGCCUGCACAGGUUGAAGUCAGGGGAAACUCUGAUGGAGGACCGUACGGGUUAUUGAUGUGCAAAUCAUUUUUCUGAUGUAGGUAAAGGUGCGAAAGACUCAUCGAACCACCUAAUAGCUGGUUUCCUCCGAAGUUUCCCUCAGGAUAGCUGUAAUGCAUUUAGUUAAGGGGAGUAGAGAUAUGGGUAGAGGUGCAGGGAGCCUUCGGGUUCUCAACUUAUUUCCAAACUUCGAACCUCCUUGUUAGGCAUUUACCUAACUGGAAAUGCUUAAAUGAAUUAGCGUUACAAGUGGGCUCUGACCGGUAAGCGGUCAUGGCGAAAUGGGAUGAACCAUACGUCUGAAUAAGGUGCCGAAAUGUACUAUCACUGAUACCAUAAAGGGAGUCCAUGUAUUUAGACAGCAGGUCGGUGCCCCUAAAAGCAGGUAUCCGCUAAAGAGUGUGUUAAAACUCACCUGCCGAAUACUAGGGCCCCGAAAAUGAAUGGCGCAUAUAGUACUACCGAUCUCAGACAUCAGUUCUAUUGAACUGAGAGUAGGGGGAUGUGGACAUUUUUGUGAAGGUGCAAUGUGAGUUGGACUGGAAGAAUGUCUAUUACAGAUCCUAAUUGAAGUAGCGAUUAUCCAGGCUUGUAUCCUGGGGGCUGAUGAGGAGUAGGGUUUCUGGACAACUUAAACAGAUCCAGAGUUAGUCGAUCCUAAUCUCAAUAAUGGGAGAAAGGGAGUACAGUUGAUAUUCUGUAACUGACAACAGUUCGCGGCAACGCAUACUAUUUUUCUCCGCCAAUCUUAUACCGUUGGUAGGGAUCUCUUUCCUACAUGACAGUACUAAUACCCAGGGAAACUGGUCAUCAGGCGAACUGCGGCGUUCUGCUGGCAAAACAUAGCUUCGUUAUGUCAAUGGCUAUUGGAUUGGUCCAUGAAGCGAAAAUAGUUUACUGUGUCACUCGUACCGAUAACGCA
This is a non-coding RNA of Trichomonas vaginalis G3, 1027 nucleotides long. The record is from Rfam. Lineage: Eukaryota; Parabasalia; Trichomonadida; Trichomonadidae.